RNAcentral lists this ribosomal RNA (640 nucleotides) under Vibrio vulnificus. Its description in RNAcentral is "bacterial SSU rRNA". It matches the Rfam family "Bacterial small subunit ribosomal RNA", at positions 12 to 641 of the family's 1533-position model. The record is from RNAcentral. Lineage: Bacteria; Pseudomonadati; Pseudomonadota; Gammaproteobacteria; Vibrionales; Vibrionaceae.
UUUGAUCAUGGCUCAGAUUGAACGCUGGCGGCAGGCCUAACACAUGCAAGUCGAGCGGCAGCACAGAGAAACUUGUUUCUCGGGUGGCGAGCGGCGGACGGGUGAGUAAUGCCUGGGAAAUUGCCCUGAUGUGGGGGAUAACCAUUGGAAACGAUGGCUAAUACCGCAUGAUAGCUUCGGCUCAAAGAGGGGGACCUUCGGGCCUCUCGCGUCAGGAUAUGCCCAGGUGGGAUUAGCUAGUUGGUGAGGUAAGGGCUCACCAAGGCGACGAUCCCUAGCUGGUCUGAGAGGAUGAUCAGCCACACUGGAACUGAGACACGGUCCAGACUCCUACGGGAGGCAGCAGUGGGGAAUAUUGCACAAUGGGCGCAAGCCUGAUGCAGCCAUGCCGCGUGUGUGAAGAAGGCCUUCGGGUUGUAAAGCACUUUCAGUCGUGAGGAAGGUGGUAGUGUUAAUAGCACUAUCAUUUGACGUUAGCGACAGAAGAAGCACCGGCUAACUCCGUGCCAGCAGCCGCGGUAAUACGGAGGGUGCGAGCGUUAAUCGGAAUUACUGGGCGUAAAGCGCAUGCAGGUGGUUUGUUAAGUCAGAUGUGAAAGCCCGGGGCUCAACCUCGGAACUGCAUUUGAAACUGGCAGAC